This 443-nucleotide ribosomal RNA is filed under the name uncultured bacterium. Its description in RNAcentral is "partial 16S ribosomal RNA". It matches the Rfam family "Bacterial small subunit ribosomal RNA", at positions 338 to 795 of the family's 1533-position model. The record is from RNAcentral.
CCUACGGGUGGCAGCAGUGGGGAAUAUUGGGCAAUGGGCGCAAGCCUGACCCAGCAACGCCGCGUGAAGGAAGAAGGCUUUCGGGUUGUAAACUUCUUUUCUCAGGGACGAAGCAAGUGACGGUACCUGAGGAAUAAGCCACGGCUAACUACGUGCCAGCAGCCGCGGUAAUACGUAGGGGGCAAGCGUUAUCCGGAUUUACUGGGUGUAAAGGGCGUGUAGGCGGGGACGCAAGUCAGAUGUGAAAACCACGGGCUCAACCGGUGGCCUGCAUUUGAAACUGUGUUUCUUGAGUACUGGAGAGGCAGGCGGAAUUCGUGGUGUAGCGGUGAAAUGCGUAGAUAUUAGAAAGAACACCAGUGGCGAAGGCAGCCUGCUGGACAGCAACUGACGCUGAGGCGCGAAAGCGUGGGGAGCAAACAGGAUUAGAUACCCUAGUAGUC